GUGGACGCCAGUCUGCGUGGAGCCGACCUUGAAAUACCACCCUUUAAUGUUUGAUGUUCUAACGUGGACCCGUUACCCGGGUUGCGGACAGUGUCUGGUGGGUAGUUUGACUGGGGCGGUCUCCUCCUAAAGAGUAACGGAGGAGCACGAAGGUUGGCUAAUCCUGGUCGGACAUCAGGAGGUUAGUGCAAUGGCAUAAGCCAGCUUGACUGCGAGCGUGACGGCGCGAGCAGGUGCGAAAGCAGGUCAUAGUGAUCCGGUGGUUCUGAAUGGAAGGGCCAUUGCUCAACGGAUAAAAGGUACUCCGGGGAUAACAGGCUGAUACCGCCCAAGAGUUCAUAUCGACGGCGGUGUUUGGCACCUCGAUGUCGGCUCAUCACAUCCUGGGGCUGAAGUAGGUCCCAAGGGUAUGGCUGUUCGCCAUUUAAAGUGGUACGCGAGCUGGGUUUAGAACGUCGUGAGACAGUUCGGUCCCUAUCUGCCGUGGGCGCUGGAGAACUGAGGGGGGCUGCUCCUAGUACGAGAGGACCGGAGUGGACGCAUCACUGGUGUUCGGGUUGUCAUGCCAAUGGCACUGCCCGGUAGCUAAAUGCGGAAGAGAUAAGUGCUGAAAGCAUCUAAGCACGAAACUUGCCCCGAGAUGAGUUCUCCCUGAGACUUAGAGUCUCCUGAAGGAACGUUGAAGACGACGACGUUGAUAGGCCGGGUGUGUAAGCGCAGCGAUGCGUUGAGCUAACCGGUACUAAUGAACCGUGAGGCUUAACCUUACAACGCCGAAGCUGUU
This 784-nucleotide ribosomal RNA is filed under the name Salmonella enterica subsp. enterica. RNAcentral's name for it is "partial 23S ribosomal RNA". It matches the Rfam family "Bacterial large subunit ribosomal RNA", at positions 2164 to 2925 of the family's 2925-position model. Lineage: Bacteria; Pseudomonadati; Pseudomonadota; Gammaproteobacteria; Enterobacterales; Enterobacteriaceae. The record is from RNAcentral.